RNAcentral lists this ribosomal RNA (460 nucleotides) under uncultured bacterium. RNAcentral describes it as "partial 16S ribosomal RNA". It matches the Rfam family "Bacterial small subunit ribosomal RNA", at positions 338 to 795 of the family's 1533-position model. The record is from RNAcentral.
CCUACGGGCGGCAGCAGUGAGGAAUAUUGGUCAAUGGGCGAGAGCCUGAACCAGCCAAGUCGCGUGAAGGAUGACGGCCCUACGGGUUGUAAACUUCUUUUGUCAGGGAGCAAUUGAGUCCACGUGUGGUCUGAGCGAGAGUACCUGAAGAAAAAGCAUCGGCUAACUCCGUGCCAGCAGCCGCGGUAAUACGGAGGAUGCGAGCGUUUUCCGGAUUUAGUGGGUUUAAAGGGUGCGUAGGCGGGCUGUUAAGUCAGCGGCAAAAGCCCGGGGCUCAAACCCGGCGAGCCGUUGAAACUGGCUGUCUUGAGAUGUCGAGAGGUAUGCGGAAUGCGCAGUGUAGCGGUGAAAUGCUUAGAUAUUGCGCAGAACUCCGAUUGCGAAGGCAGCAUACCGGCGGCGAUCUGACGCUGAGGCACGAAAGCGUGGGUAUCGAACAGGAUUAGAUACCCUUGUAGUC